GGGUUGUGAGGUUAAGCGACUAAGCGUACACGGUGGAUGCCCUGGCAGUCAGAGGCGAUGAAGGACGUGCUAAUCUGCGAUAAGCGUCGGUAAGGUGAUAUGAACCGUUAUAACCGGCGAUUUCCGAAUGGGGAAACCCAGUGUGUUUCGACACACUAUCAUUAACUGAAUCCAUAGGUUAAUGAGGCGAACCGGGGGAACUGAAACAUCUAAGUACCCCGAGGAAAAGAAAUCAACCGAGAUUCCCCCAGUAGCGGCGAGCGAACGGGGAGCAGCCCAGAGCCUGAAUCAGUGUGUGUGUUAGUGGAAGCGUCUGGAAAGGCGCGCGAUACAGGGUGACAGCCCCGUACACAAAAAUGCACAUGCUGUGAGCUCGAUGAGUAGGGCGGGACACGUGGUAUCCUGUCUGAAUAUGGGGGGACCAUCCUCCAAGGCUAAAUACUCCUGACUGACCGAUAGUGAACCAGUACCGUGAGGGAAAGGCGAAAAGAACCCCGGCGAGGGGAGUGAAAAAGAACCUGAAACCGUGUACGUACAAGCAGUGGGAGCACGCUUAGGCGUGUGACUGCGUACCUUUUGUAUAAUGGGUCAGCGACUUAUAUUCUGUAGCAAGGUUAACCGAAUAGGGGAGCCGAAGGGAAACCGAGUCUUAACUGGGCGUUAAGUUGCAGGGUAUAGACCCGAAACCCGGUGAUCUAGCCAUGGGCAGGUUGAAGGUUGGGUAACACUAACUGGAGGACCGAACCGACUAAUGUUGAAAAAUUAGCGGAUGACUUGUGGCUGGGGGUGAAAGGCCAAUCAAACCGGGAGAUAGCUGGUUCUCCCCGAAAGCUAUUUAGGUAGCGCCUCGUGAAUUCAUCUCCGGGGGUAGAGCACUGUUUCGGCAAGGGGGUCAUCCCGACUUACCAACCCGAUGCAAACUGCGAAUACCGGAGAAUGUUAUCACGGGAGACACACGGCGGGUGCUAACGUCCGUCGUGAAGAGGGAAACAACCCAGACCGCCAGCUAAGGUCCCAAAGUCAUGGUUAAGUGGGAAACGAUGUGGGAAGGCCCAGACAGCCAGGAUGUUGGCUUAGAAGCAGCCAUCAUUUAAAGAAAGCGUAAUAGCUCACUGGUCGAGUCGGCCUGCGCGGAAGAUGUAACGGGGCUAAACCAUGCACCGAAGCUGCGGCAGCGACGCUAUGCGUUGUUGGGUAGGGGAGCGUUCUGUAAGCCUGUGAAGGUGUGCUGUGAGGCAUGCUGGAGGUAUCAGAAGUGCGAAUGCUGACAUAAGUAACGAUAAAGCGGGUGAAAAGCCCGCUCGCCGGAAGACCAAGGGUUCCUGUCCAACGUUAAUCGGGGCAGGGUGAGUCGACCCCUAAGGCGAGGCCGAAAGGCGUAGUCGAUGGGAAACAGGUUAAUAUUCCUGUACUUGGUGUUACUGCGAAGGGGGGACGGAGAAGGCUAUGUUGGCCGGGCGACGGUUGUCCCGGUUUAAGCGUGUAGGCUGGUUUUCCAGGCAAAUCCGGAAAAUCAAGGCUGAGGCGUGAUGACGAGGCACUACGGUGCUGAAGCAACAAAUGCCCUGCUUCCAGGAAAAGCCUCUAAGCAUCAGGUAACAUCAAAUCGUACCCCAAACCGACACAGGUGGUCAGGUAGAGAAUACCAAGGCGCUUGAGAGAACUCGGGUGAAGGAACUAGGCAAAAUGGUGCCGUAACUUCGGGAGAAGGCACGCUGAUAUGUAGGUGA
This 1730-nucleotide ribosomal RNA is filed under the name Escherichia coli. Its description in RNAcentral is "bacterial LSU rRNA". It matches the Rfam family "Bacterial large subunit ribosomal RNA", at positions 1 to 1765 of the family's 2925-position model. Lineage: Bacteria; Pseudomonadati; Pseudomonadota; Gammaproteobacteria; Enterobacterales; Enterobacteriaceae. The record is from RNAcentral.